CUUAUACCUCUACCUCUAUAAGUCUCCAUACAUGCUCUGUCUAUGGCCCUCGAGUGAUCAACAACUUGAGAGAAGAAAGACCCAACUGCUAUCAAAUGCUCUGGUUCCAAAUAGAGUUGCAAUGCUAAUUCUCUAAUAAAUCCAUGCACCAUAUUAUGCUCUGAAGGAUAUAGAAUAGGAAUAUGACUGACCCACUCAAGAAACCCAAUCUCAUAUUCUAAAACUG
This 226-nucleotide long non-coding RNA is filed under the name Capsicum annuum. Its description in RNAcentral is "long non-coding RNA (CANN_LNC005032)". Lineage: Eukaryota; Viridiplantae; Streptophyta; Magnoliopsida; Solanales; Solanaceae. The record is from RNAcentral.